GCUCAGAAUGAACGCUGGCGGCAUGCCUAACACAUGCAAGUCGAACGAGACCUUCGGGUCUAGUGGCGCACGGGUGCGUAACGCGUGGGAAUCUGCCCCUUGGUUCGGAAUAACAGCGAGAAAUUGCUGCUAAUACCGGAUAAUGACGUAAGUCCAAAGAUUUAUCGCCUAGGGAUGAGCCCGCGUAGGAUUAGCUAGUUGGUGUGGUAAAGGCGCACCAAGGCGACGAUCCUUAGCUGGUCUGAGAGGAUGAUCAGCCACACUGGGACUGAGACACGGCCCAGACUCCUACGGGAGGCAGCAGUGGGGAAUAUUGGACAAUGGGCGAAAGCCUGAUCCAGCAAUGCCGCGUGAGUGAUGAAGGCCUUAGGGUUGUAAAGCUCUUUUACCCGGGAUGAUAAUGACAG
RNAcentral lists this ribosomal RNA (407 nucleotides) under Sphingomonas sp. RNAcentral's name for it is "bacterial SSU rRNA". It matches the Rfam family "Bacterial small subunit ribosomal RNA", at positions 22 to 457 of the family's 1533-position model. Lineage: Bacteria; Pseudomonadati; Pseudomonadota; Alphaproteobacteria; Sphingomonadales; Sphingomonadaceae. The record is from RNAcentral.